This 326-nucleotide small nuclear RNA is filed under the name Octodon degus (degu). RNAcentral describes it as "7SK RNA (ENSODEG00000024535.1)". It matches the Rfam family "7SK RNA". From Rfam's summary of the family: 7SK was discovered as an abundant small nuclear RNA in the mid-70s but a possible function has only recently been suggested. Two independent studies have found that 7SK RNA binds the CDK9/cyclin T complex (known as elongation factor P-TEFb). The record is from RNAcentral. Lineage: Eukaryota; Metazoa; Chordata; Mammalia; Rodentia; Octodontidae.
AGAUGUGAGGGCGAUCUGGCUGCGACAUCUGUCACCCCAUUGAUCGCCAGGGUUGAUUCGGCUGAUCUGGCUGGCUAGGCGGGUGUCCCCUUCCUCCCUCAAUGAUCCAUGUGUGUCCCUUCCAAAGCUGUGUGCUUGGUCGAAGAGGACGACCACCCCCGAUAGAGGAGGACCGUUCCUCGGUCAAGGGUAUACGAGUAGCUGUGCUCCCCUGCUGGAACCUCCAAACAAGUUCUCAAGAAUAGUUGCUCACCAUAAUGAGAAAGAAUGUGGUAGGCUGGCCAGGUAGCUCAGUGGACUAAAGUACCUCCUUAAGCAGAGCAUAG